Molecule: transfer RNA, 312 nt
Filed under: Rehderodendron gongshanense
Lineage: Eukaryota; Viridiplantae; Streptophyta; Magnoliopsida; Ericales; Styracaceae
Description: tRNA-Ser
Source: RNAcentral
CGGAAAGAGAGGGAUUCGAACCCUCGGUACAAAUAACUCGUACAACGGAUUAGCAAUCCGCCGCUUUAGUCCACUCAGCCAUCUCUCCCAAUUGAAAAAAAAAAGAUAAUUACUAUGUUACAUUACGCGUAAAGUAAGGAUUAAAAAAGUCUUUCUCUCUCUUUAUCUUUAUAUAGAAUAUAGAUAUGUACAACUUUUAUCAGCAAUUCCAUUUAGAUAAAGUAAGGACUGGAAAGAUCCAAUAUAAAGAAAAAUAAAAAUAAAGAAGACUUAUUUGCUUUGAUUUUAUUCGAAAGAGCCUUUUUUUAUUCC